RNAcentral lists this ribosomal RNA (648 nucleotides) under uncultured bacterium. Its description in RNAcentral is "bacterial SSU rRNA". It matches the Rfam family "Bacterial small subunit ribosomal RNA", at positions 74 to 720 of the family's 1533-position model. The record is from RNAcentral.
GCGGGGCACCUGGCGGCGAGUGGUGAACGGGUGAGUAAUAUAUCGGAACGUACCCUGGAGUGGGGGAUAACGUAGCGAAAGUUACGCUAAUACCGCAUACGAUCUAAGGAUGAAAGUGGGGGAUCGCAAGACCUCAUGCUCCUGGAGCGGCCCGAUAUCUGAUUAGCUAGUUGGUGGGGUAAAGGCCUACCAAGGCAUCGAUCAGUAGCUGGUCUGAGAGGACGACCAGCCACACUGGAACUGAGACACGGUCCAGACUCCUACGGGAGGCAGCAGUGGGGAAUUUUGGACAAUGGGCGCAAGCCUGAUCCAGCAAUGCCGCGUGAGUGAAGAAGGCCUUCGGGUUGUAAAGCUCUUUUGUCAGGGAAGAAACGGGUGGAGCUAAUAUCUCUGCCUAAUGACGGUACCUGAAGAAUAAGCACCGGCUAACUACGUGCCAGCAGCCGCGGUAAUACGUAGGGUGCAAGCGUUAAUCGGAAUUACUGGGCGUAAAGCGUGCGCAGGCGGUUUUGUAAGUCUGUCGUGAAAUCCCCGGGCUCAACCUGGGAAUUGCGAUGGAGACUGCAAGGCUAGAAUCUGGCAGAGGGGGGUAGAAUUCCACGUGUAGCAGUGAAAUGCGUAAGAUGUGGAGGAACACCGAUGGCGAAG